Molecule: ribosomal RNA, 253 nt
Filed under: uncultured bacterium
Lineage: Bacteria
Description: partial 16S ribosomal RNA
Rfam family: Bacterial small subunit ribosomal RNA
Source: RNAcentral
UACGUAGGGUGCAAGCGUUAUCCGGAAUUAUUGGGCGUAAAGAGCUCGUAGGCGGUUUGUCGCGUCUGCUGUGAAAACUGGAGGCUCAACCUCCAGCCUGCAGUGGGUACGGGCAAACUAGAGUGCGGUAGGGGAGAUUGGAAUUCCUGGUGUAGCGGUGGAAUGCGCAGAUAUCAGGAGGAACACCGAUGGCGAAGGCAGAUCUCUGGGCCGAUACUGACGCUGAGGAGCGAAAGCGUGGGGAGCGAACAGG